This 463-nucleotide ribosomal RNA is filed under the name uncultured bacterium. RNAcentral's name for it is "bacterial SSU rRNA". It matches the Rfam family "Bacterial small subunit ribosomal RNA", at positions 29 to 506 of the family's 1533-position model. The record is from RNAcentral.
AUGAACGCUGGCGGCGUGUCUAAGGCAUGCAAGUCGAACGGAUAUAUUCCGCAAGGAAUAUAUUAGUGGCAAACGGGUGAGUAACACAUUGGUAACCUACCUCGAAGACGGGCACAACUCCGCGAAAGCGGAGCUAAUUCCCGAUGGUCAUGGGGGGACACAAGUCAUUCCCAUGUAAAUCCCAAAAGGAGCUUCGAGAGGGGCCUAUGUCCUAUCAGCUAGUUGGUGAGGUAACGGCUCACCAAGGCAACGACGGGUAGCAGGCGUGAGAGCGUGACCUGCCUCACUGGGACUGAGACACUGCCCAGACACCUACGGGUGGCUGCAGUCAAGAAUAUUCCCCAAUGGACGAAAGUCUGAGGGAGCGACGCCGCGUGCAGGAUGAAGGCCUUCGGGUUGUAAACUGCUUUUUUCAGGGACGAAUUCUGACGGUACCUGAAGAAUAAGAGGUUGCUAACUCUGU